AACGAACGCUGGCGGCAUGCCUAACACAUGCCAGUCGAACGAGACCUUCGGGUCUAGUGGCGCACGGGUGCGUAACGCGUGGGAACCUGCCCUUAGGUUCGGAAUAACUCCCCGAAAGGGGUGCUAAUACCGGAUAAUGUCUUCGGACCAAAGAUUUAUCGCCUUUGGAUGGGCCCGCGUUGGAUUAGCUAGUUGGUAGGGUAAAAGCCUACCAAGGCGACGAUCCAUAGCUGGUCUGAGAGGAUGAUCAGCCACACUGGGACUGAGACACGGCCCAGACUCCUACGGGAGGCAGCAGUGGGGAAUAUUGGACAAUGGGCGAAAGCCUGAUCCAGCAAUGCCGCGUGAGUGAUGAAGGCCUUAGGGUUGUAAAGCUCUUUUACCCGGGAUGAUAAUGACAGUACCGGGAGAAUAAGCGCCGGCUAACUCCGCG
This 433-nucleotide ribosomal RNA is filed under the name uncultured bacterium. RNAcentral describes it as "partial 16S ribosomal RNA". It matches the Rfam family "Bacterial small subunit ribosomal RNA", at positions 29 to 507 of the family's 1533-position model. The record is from RNAcentral.